This is a long non-coding RNA of Medicago truncatula (barrel medic), 2341 nucleotides long. RefSeq lists it as uncharacterized. Lineage: Eukaryota; Viridiplantae; Streptophyta; Magnoliopsida; Fabales; Fabaceae. The record is from RefSeq and is a predicted model, not a curated record. The transcript is spliced from 5 exons.
UUUCACGUUCUCUGCAUAUUAUUCAUUUUUCUUCAUCUUCUUCCCAAAAUGGAAGACAUGACCAUCACACAAAAAUCAUUCUUAACCCAAUUCAAAAAUCGAAAUCGAAAUUGAAAUCCAUUCAAAAUCUUGAGUUCCUCAUCUCAAAAUCGAAAUCCAUUUGAAAUUCAAUUCUUCCAUUCAAAAUCGAAAUCAUGUUCUUCCAUGCGGUUUGAAAUCGAAAUGCAAUUCCGCUUUGAACCGGUUGAUUGGUAUCCAUGGGGUGAAGAAGCUUUCGCCGAAGCUCGCCGCAGAGAUUCUCUUUUCGUUGUUGUAGUGGUGAUGAUGGGUAAGUGCUUUUCGUAUCAUUCACUCCGCCCUUGUUCCCAAAUUGUUCUCAAAUCACAAAGAUUGAGGUGAGGUUCAGUUUGUUUAUUCUAGUUUGUUUGUUCCUUCAGUUAGUUAAUUUUUUUGUGUAGAUUUUUUGGGGUUUUAAAAGGUUUUACAUCUUAAUUUUGCUGCUGAGGAAUGUUGUAACUGCAUUUGAUUUACAAGACAGUUUUGUGAUGUCAAACCUUUGUUUAUCUUUGUUAUGUUUUUGAAUUUUUGUUCGUAAUAUCUGUCCUUGAUUGUGUUUGUAGUUCUGAGCGUAUUUGAUAGUUGAUAGUGCCUGCAAUUUUGCCUGGUAAGAUUGGCUUACCCUGUUUUAGCUGUCUUGACAUAGUUGAUUACUGAUUUCCAGAGUGUAUGCCUAAUUCAUGUGCCGCUGCAUUUCUGCUUCUAAUAAAUACUACUGCAUUUGAUGUAGCCAAACUAAAAAUGAAAUUCUCCUGGGAUUGCAUGAUUAAUAGAAGCACUUGACAAUCACUUCUGUGUAUGCAUCAAUUGCUUCUGUUCUUGAUCUAGGUCAAUUUUGUGGGCAAUCACUUCUGUGUAUGCAUCCCUAAUUGUAAAAUUAAAAAUACUAUUUAAUUUGCCUAUCAUUGAAACACAUAAUUGCAAGUCAAGAUAAGAUUAAGGUGAACCUUGGAGGGUUGUUUCUAUUGCUAAAAUUCUCACACUCUUGAUCAAAAUAUGACCAACAAACUGCAGCCAUUCUAAACAGCUUACAAGAGCAUAACUUUCUUUUGUCAUUAGAUAGGGAGUUUAUCUUGUCAUUAGGAGUUUAUCUUGUCAUUACAAGAACAUAAUUGUUUCAGAUUUUUUUAAAGAACAGUCACCUAUUUUGUCAGGUUAACAGUCGAUGAAGUUUAUUUUAGUAUCUUUAUGGUCUCAGCUAAUUGUUAUUACUGUCAACUGUAGAGAGUUUGCUGAGCUUUGCUUCGUUAAUAUGUCUUUCUGCUGUCAUGUAGUUGGCGUUGUCUUGAAUUUUUUUUGGAGGAAUCUUAUCCCCGAAAACCAUAUUUAUCGACUUUCAACCUCCAGUAGAAUAUUAAAUUUAUCAAGCAGAAGAAGAAAAGUUGUCUGUCCUACUCAAUAGCAUCAUAAUUCAUCCUUUUUAUAAAAGUAAAGAUUGCAUAGGUUUCAGCUAUCUAAACAUUGAGGCAUAAAUCUGCAGGAUUUCAAUGCAAAGCUUUCAGACUUUGGCCUUGCAAAGGAUGGGCCGAUGGGGGACCAAACACAUGUUUCAUACCUCUUCAUAUAAAUAAAUUAACUACAAUUUUGGUUCUUAACACCAAGUGAACUUAAUGUUUUAUGCUGCAUUGAGAACGCAUUCUAUAAGCUUUUAUUUACCCGAGACACGGGUCAUUCUGUGAGAUAAACUGUUGAUCCUGUUUCUUUAAUGGCAUCAGUAGCUACGGUUGUUCUGUUUAUCAUCUGAUUCACUAUUAUUUUGAUCAUCAGGUUUAGGUUGUUUUUCUUAUUGUCUGAGUUGCAUUAGAGAACAGGCCUAAUUUUUGUCUCUUGAAGUAGGGGUCGGUGUUAAUAGGUGCUACAGAGGCCUCUUUCAAUUGAAAAGGGUUUUUGAGUGCAAUGGCUCUUAACGAAUCAAUCUCGUAAUGUUAUUAGCGAACACCUGUCUCACCAAUUAACGUAUUAGGAUCUGGUCUAGCUUUUUAUGGUGUUUUCCUAUUUUCCAGAAUGAAGAGAAUUAAGCCAAAGACAGCCUAAUGUUCAGGUGUAUUUAUUCAGAAUUACGUUGAUGCAAAUAUUAAGGGAUUUGGAAGAUAUUGCCAUACGAUUUUUGAUGCAAUUCUGCAAAUAUUAAGGAGUUUGAAAGAUAUCAUUAUGUUUUUACCAUACACCGUAUUAAACUCUUGAUGCAAUUAUGCAAAAAUUACGGAAUUUGAAAGAUAUCAUUAUGUUAUUACCAUAUGAGUAACCAAAAAAAAAAAAUUAUAUUUUCUCUGUUGUUUUAUGA